RNAcentral lists this non-coding RNA (26 nucleotides) under Homo sapiens (human). The record is from RNAcentral. Lineage: Eukaryota; Metazoa; Chordata; Mammalia; Primates; Hominidae.
UCCAGCAUUUGUGCCCCGGUCCGGCC